UGGGGAAUUUUGGACAAUGGGCGAAAGCCUGAUCCAGCAAUGCCGCGUGUGUGAAGAAGGCCUUCGGGUUGUAAAGCACUUUUGUCCGGAAAGAAAUCCUUGGCUCUAAUACAGUCGGGGGAUGACGUUACCGGAAGAAUAAGCACCGGCUAACUACGUGCCAGCAGCCGCGGUAAUACGUAGGGUGCAAGCGUUAAUCGGAAUUACUGGGCGUAAAGCGUGCGCAGGCGGUUUGCUAAGACCGAUGUGAAAUCCCCGGGCUCAACCUGGGAACUGCAUUGGUGACUGGCAGGCUAGAGUAUGGCAGAGGGGGGUAGAAUUCCACGUGUAGCAGUGAAAUGCGUAGAGAUGUGGAGGAAUACCGAUGGCGAAGGCAGCCCCCUGGGCCAAUACUGACGCUCAUGCACGAAAGCGUGGGGAGCAAACAGGAUUAGAUACCCUGGUAGUCCACGCCCUAAACGAUGUCAACUAGUUGUUGGGGAUUCAUUUCCUUAGUAACGUAGCUAACGCGUGAAGUUGACCGCCUGGGGGAGUACGGUCGCAAGAUUAAAACUCAAAGGAAUUGACGGGGUCAUAGCUGUUUCCU
This 586-nucleotide ribosomal RNA is filed under the name uncultured bacterium. Its description in RNAcentral is "partial 16S ribosomal RNA". It matches the Rfam family "Bacterial small subunit ribosomal RNA", at positions 355 to 1375 of the family's 1533-position model. The record is from RNAcentral.